This 229-nucleotide ribosomal RNA is filed under the name uncultured bacterium. RNAcentral's name for it is "partial 16S ribosomal RNA". It matches the Rfam family "Bacterial small subunit ribosomal RNA", at positions 568 to 796 of the family's 1533-position model. The record is from RNAcentral.
UGCGUAGGCGGACUAGUAAGUCAGUGGUGAAAUCUUUCGGCUCAACCGAGAAACUGCCAUUGAUACUGUUAGUCUUGAGUUCGGUUGAGGUAGGCGGAAUGUGUAAUGUAGCGGUGAAAUGCUUAGAUAUUACACAGAACACCAAUUGCGUAGGCAGCUUACUAGACCGACACUGACGCUGAGGCACGAAAGCGUGGGGAGCGAACAGGAUUAGAUACCCUGGUAGUCC